ACACCCUACUGCUGUGGACAUGCGGAUGCAUGUGUGCAGUGGUGACGUGGGCUACAAGAGCGAAAGCGCUUUGGCCGUAAAUGUAGCGAUGGAUGAUGGAGCUUGCCGAGUGUGAGUCCCCUUUGCAACAAGAGCAGUAUGCCUUGCGAACAAAGAGGCGAACGUUUGGCGGAGCCAUCGACAAGUCUAUCGACGAAUGUGUGCGCGUCACGCACGUACACACACACUACCUAA
RNAcentral lists this unclassified non-coding RNA (234 nucleotides) under uncultured Rozellomycota. RNAcentral describes it as "uncultured Cryptomycota sequence contains ITS2". Lineage: Eukaryota; Fungi; Rozellomycota. The record is from RNAcentral.